Molecule: ribosomal RNA, 557 nt
Filed under: Monilinia johnsonii
Lineage: Eukaryota; Fungi; Ascomycota; Leotiomycetes; Helotiales; Sclerotiniaceae
Description: SSU rRNA
Rfam family: Eukaryotic small subunit ribosomal RNA
Source: RNAcentral
GUCUGGUGCCAGCAGCCGCGGUAAUUCCAGCUCCAAUAGCGUAUAUUAAAGUUGUUGCAGUUAAAAAGCUCGUAGUUGAACCUUGGGCCUGGUUGGCCGGUCCGCCUCACCGCGUGCACUGGUCCGACCGGGUCUUUCCUUCUGGGGAGCCGCAUGCCCUUCACUGGGUGUGUCGGGGAACCAGGACUUUUACUUUGAAAAAAUUAGAGUGUUCAAAGCAGGCCUAUGCUCGAAUACAUUAGCAUGGAAUAAUAGAAUAGGACGUGUGGUUCUAUUUUGUUGGUUUCUAGGACCGCCGUAAUGAUUAAUAGGGAUAGUCGGGGGCAUCAGUAUUCAAUUGUCAGAGGUGAAAUUCUUGGAUUUAUUGAAGACUAACUACUGCGAAAGCAUUUGCCAAGGAUGUUUUCAUUAAUCAGUGAACGAAAGUUAGGGGAUCGAAGACGAUCAGAUACCGUCGUAGUCUUAACCAUAAACUAUGCCGACUAGGGAUCGGGCGAUGUUAUCUUUUUGACUCGCUCGGCACCUCACGAGAAAUCAAAGUCUUUGGGUUCUGGGGG